Molecule: long non-coding RNA, 268 nt
Organism: Clarias gariepinus (North African catfish)
Lineage: Eukaryota; Metazoa; Chordata; Actinopteri; Siluriformes; Clariidae
Exons: 3
Source: RefSeq, a predicted model, not a curated record
CCAGUGCACAGGGUCUGUUCCCCGAAUGGAAUUGUGAAAACAGUUCAUCAGAGGUGCAGCUGCUUCCAGAAAACUUACUCCCUGUGUGCUCUUAUGCUUGUAAUAAAUGAAGUGUCGUCACAGAGCGUCACAGUCGAAGCUGCUCAAGGAGACGCUGUGAUCUUACCGUGUUCAUCCAGUCGUUAUGAAAAGGACGUGUUCUGGCAAUACAGAGACACCAAGCCUGUGUAUGACAUCAUCGAGGGUAAAGAGAAUUUUCAUGACCAGG